UUGGAUACCCUGGCAGACUGCUCUCUUCUCUAAUACCUCUUCAGUGGCUGGAAACUGAGAACAGCAGUGUGAACUUCACACAUUGUCCUGCAAAUGUGCUUUCAUCCUGACCUGACCUGACAACUUCUGGGGAUGAUGAGGUAGUUCAGUCUCUAUGCCCAUUCAGCCUGUUUCUUAU
This 178-nucleotide small RNA is filed under the name Gopherus agassizii (Agassiz's desert tortoise). RNAcentral describes it as "TUC338 (ENSGAGG00000009890.1)". The record is from RNAcentral. Lineage: Eukaryota; Metazoa; Chordata; Testudines; Testudinidae.